RNAcentral lists this transfer-messenger RNA (353 nucleotides) under Helicobacteraceae bacterium. It matches the Rfam family "transfer-messenger RNA". From Rfam's summary of the family: Bacterial tmRNA, also known as 10Sa RNA or SsrA, is named for its dual tRNA and mRNA-like properties. The record is from RNAcentral. Lineage: Bacteria; Pseudomonadati; Campylobacterota; Epsilonproteobacteria; Campylobacterales; Helicobacteraceae.
GGGGCUGACAAGGCUUCGACAGGAAAGCUUUGGCUUUGGGCUGCAUGCCGGCUUGGAUAUGCCGUAAAUCUAUCCGCUAAAUAUAGACGCAAACAACGCGAACUAUCGUCCCGCUUACGCCUACGCGGCGUAAUGGACAGGCUUGCCUCGCCCGCCGCGAGCGGGGUUAUGCCUUCAACCGCAGCGGCUUGAAGCACGUUUUUGGCAAGACGCGCCUGACAUUAGCCUGCGUUUUUUGAGGGGUUUGCCCGUUUGGCGCUUCAAAAGACAAAGAUAAUCAACGGGAGCUAAGCAUGUAGAGGCCUGGAGAACGGCUUUUUUGGACAGGGGUUCAAUUCCCCUCAGCUCCACCA